UGCGGGAUGAUUCAGCUCUCGAGGAGGUUUGGAAAUAUUCUGGGGAAGACAGCGAUCUGUAGAAGGUCCAAAUGAAAUGUGAGCUGUGCAAUCAGGGGCGCGGAAGUGCAGAGCGGCCCCAGGCGCCCGUCCCACCUGGGAGAGCUGGGUGGGCCUCGCAGACGACGUGCGUUGCCGCUGAGCCUUCACAGGCCUUAUGGAUUUAACCUAAAAUGGAAAUUACCCAUAAAAAUGGUGGCUUACUGCCUUUAAUAACGAGCUAUAACUGUAUUUUACCGAACUAGCAGUACCAUUGAGUAAAGAGGUGCUACCCCAUGCUAGGUAAUAUAAUUUCUAGAUUAGUCUACGGGGCUCGUUUUGUAAUCAAUCUCUAAACUUGCAGAAACUGGUCACGCCUAAACUGAACGUAUAGUUAUCUCCAACUGGAUAAACCUGGGACUUUCAACUGUGUUCUAAAUAGCUCUUUUGGGUAUUCACACAGAAAUCACCUGUCCUUGAUUUAGUCGGCCAAGUAGUUGAGACCAUUUCCGGCAUCCUCUAUGGGACUCUGCUGCAGAAGUGUGCUUUAUACAUGGUGUUUUUAUCGUGAGGGCCACCACAAAGACAAUACCACUCAUUCUCCAUGAAUGGAGGGACGCCCUCCUGCUCACCACUGAUCCCUCACCAUCUAGAAGUGUGCAUGGCACAGUGCGCGCUCAACAAGUAAACAUGAGCUAACAAGACCAACCAGGUGCCCGCUGUCCUACAGGAGCUGGAUCAUCCACAGCACACUUCACUGGGCCCGUGAUGUGCCAUCACCUCCUGAUCAUCCACGGCAGGCCUCCCAAGAGGGUGCCAGCAAACACAACACCGAGUCUUCCAGGGAAAGAAAAGAAUUCGCUGCCAAGGUAUUCCAGCCUGUUUCCAAGGAGGUUUGUUUGAAUAAGAUCCAGUUCUGUGCCGCCACCAUCCGCCUGUUCACCACGAGCUCCUCCUCCGCGGACACCUGGAUGUUUUGGACUUGACUUACCUCUGCGUGGAGAACCAAACAAGGCUCCUCGGAGAAGCAGAAAUGAGCAGGAGGAAGGAGCUGGGCGCCCAGGGAGGUGGCACUGAGGGGCUGGGACGCACGCAGCUCUGGAGGCUCGGCCACUUGAGAGCCAGUGACGUGGGCAGGCUCCUCGAGGGGCCCUUGUGGAGGUCUGAAAACUGAUUGGAAACCCUGUUUAUCCUUAUUUCCCGGUCUGGUCAGCGGAUUCCAGAAUCUUAUCUUCCCCGUUACGGAGAAAGCAUGGCUUUGAAACCGUCUCCUUGGAGAGCUCACUUGCACAUGAAGCGCAGCCCUCACUCCAAGCCGGCUGGGAAGCACUAGGACACAGAAGUGACAUUGCAUCAAAGUGGCACAGGAGAGUGGGGGUGGCUGGAAAAUCAUGGAAUCAAAGGAAAAUGAUCCAAUAUUUCAAAGAAAAUCAUGUCCCGUACAUUUCUGCUCCAUUACAAUAGGGGAAGUUGAAGCUGGUCUUACGCGGCUGCUGUCUUAGAUGUGGAGCUCUCGGAGUGCUUGAAAUGUCUUCUAUUUUAUUACAUAUACAAAGGAGCUCUUUAACACGGCUACUGUCUGCGACACGUAAGUCAUAUCUCAGUUUUCUUUGUCGACUAAAACCAUUCUGGACUGGAAAGUCCCGCUACUGAAGACUGCCUCUCGCCGGUGUUCCACAGGUGAACGGCGAAAUACGGCAGCCUCUUUAACGAGGAAACUGUCCAUUGACCAAUCUACCAAAAUUGUCCGCCUGUCUUAUGUUAGUACCACAUUUUUAUGAUUUUUAACACCUGCAAAAUACGCUUUCGUCAAAACUUAAAGCUGCAAAGUAAAUAAAUAAAUAAAUAAAAUUCGAUUGAUGAAUGGUUUUAGAAAGUAAAGUAAAGUUUCUGGGCUGUAAUUACUUUUUAACAAUUUAUCAGUGAACACACCAUCAUGAAGUCUCAUUAUCUGCUUCACAAAAACAAACCUAAAAUGCAAAGUUAAUGAACCAAAACAUCUUGCAAAUCUAAGACCAAGUUGACAAGACCAUGGCAAAUGCAUCCUUAUAAUGACUAGUCUUAUGCCCAAACUCCGAAGAUGAUAGCCUCUGUGGUUCUUGCAUGAAUGAGCACAUGAAGUAACGUGCACCACCUCACGGCCGGCUGUAAAAUCAUGCUGUGCCAUCUCCAUCUUUUCAUAUUCAUUCAGCAAACGCUUAUUGAGAAGCUCCUGCGUGCCAGCAAUAAAGCUGUCUCUGUGCUCGUGAAAUCAACAAUCAGAUGGGACACAAACAGGCAUAAGCGAUGGGAGGUCCUGCUUUAAAUUCUGUUUAUUGGGGAAAGAAUGGGGUAUCAUGGGGUGUAUAAAACAACACCUUGAUUGGGACAUUGGGGAGAUUUACCACAGAAGUGACAGUUGAACUGAUACCUGAAAAUAAAUAUGAAUUAUCCAAACAAAAGGUAAAAGUUGUUUUCACUGCUCUGGGUAGAGGAGACGGCAUGUGCACAAUCUGGGAGGCAGGAGAAAAGAGCAAGUUCAGGGACUGAAAA
Molecule: long non-coding RNA, 2550 nt
Filed under: Equus caballus (horse)
Lineage: Eukaryota; Metazoa; Chordata; Mammalia; Perissodactyla; Equidae
Description: lncRNA (ENSECAG00000029134.3)
Source: RNAcentral